Molecule: ribosomal RNA, 429 nt
Filed under: Actinomycetes bacterium
Lineage: Bacteria; Bacillati; Actinomycetota; Actinomycetes
Description: Actinobacteria bacterium partial 16S ribosomal RNA
Rfam family: Bacterial small subunit ribosomal RNA
Source: RNAcentral
UAGGGAAUCUUCCGCAAUGGGCGAAAGCCUGACGGAGCAACGCCGCGUGAGUGAUGAAGGUCUUCGGAUCGUAAAACUCUGUUACUAGGGAAGAACAAAUGUGUAAGUAACUAUGCACGUCUUGACGGUACCUAAUCAGAAAGCCACGGCUAACUACGUGCCAGCAGCCGCGGUAAUACGUAGGUGGCAAGCGUUAUCCGGAAUUAUUGGGCGUAAAGCGCGCGUAGGCGGUUUUUUAAGUCUGAUGUGAAAGCCCACGGCUCAACCGUGGAGGGUCAUUGGAAACUGGAAGACUUGAGUGCAGAAGAGGAAAGUGGAAUUCCAUGUGUAGCGGUGAAAUGCGCAGAGAUAUGGAGGAACACCAGUGGCGAAGGCGACUUUCUGGUCUGUAACUGACGCUGAUGUGCGAAAGCGUGGGGAUCAAACAGG